GAAGAGACGUGGAAAACGAAAUUUUAUCCUGCUAGGUGGCAGUGCGGUGCAUGGCUACCGCGGUGGUGCUGUGGGGCCGCGUGUCUUGGACCACAAAUUUGAAUCAAAGAAGUGGCCUCAGAAGAAGAGAUGGAGAUAGAUACAGCAGAGGCAAACCAAGUAAUGGAGUCGCAGCCCAGCAAGACAAGUAUGGCUGAACCUGAGUCUGAGCAUCCAGCUGGAGAUGCUCUGACAACAAACAAAAAAUGUUUGCCUCAAGCUGAAGAUCAGAAGCUUGGUGAUGAUGAGGCUGCCCCAAUGGAGCAGGGGCCUGAUCCCCCAAACCAAGAGGAGGCACCCAAGGACCAGGAGUCCGCAUCCCCACACCCCCAGCCACCACGCGAGAACCACGAGCAGGCGGCGCCUGACCCCGACCCCGAAGCCGCCGGGCCGGAGUCACCCCCCGAGCCGGAGCCG
Long non-coding RNA from Pollicipes pollicipes, 456 nucleotides. RefSeq lists it as uncharacterized. The transcript has 3 exons. The record is from RefSeq and is a predicted model, not a curated record. Lineage: Eukaryota; Metazoa; Arthropoda; Thecostraca; Pollicipedomorpha; Pollicipedidae.